AUUGAACGCUGGCGGCAUGCCUUACACAUGCAAGUCGAACGGCAGCACGGGUGCUUGCCCCUGGUGGCGAGUGGCGAACGGGUGAGUAAUACAUCGGAACAUGUCCUGUAGUGGGGGAUAGCCCGGCGAAAGCCGGAUUAAUACCGCAUACGAUCUACGGAGGAAAGCGGGGGACCUUCGGGCCUCGCGCUAUAGGGUUGGCCGAUGGCUGAUUAGCUAGUUGGUGGGGUAAAGGCCUACCAAGGCGACGAUCAGUAGCUGGUCUGAGAGGACGACCAGCCACACUGGGACUGAGACACGGCCCAGACUCCUACGGGAGGCAGCAGUGGGGAAUUUUGGACAAUGGGCGAAAGCCUGAUCCAGCAAUGCCGCGUGUGUGAAGAAGGCCUUCGGGUUGUAAAGCACUUUUGUCCGGAAAGAAAUCCUUGGCCCUAAUACGGUCGGGGGAUGACGGUACCGGAAGAAUAAGCACCGGCUAACUACGUG
Molecule: ribosomal RNA, 486 nt
Filed under: uncultured bacterium
Lineage: Bacteria
Description: partial 16S ribosomal RNA
Rfam family: Bacterial small subunit ribosomal RNA
Source: RNAcentral